This 265-nucleotide ribosomal RNA is filed under the name uncultured prokaryote. RNAcentral's name for it is "partial 16S ribosomal RNA". It matches the Rfam family "Bacterial small subunit ribosomal RNA", at positions 524 to 788 of the family's 1533-position model. The record is from RNAcentral.
UACGGAGGAUCCGAGCGUUAUCCGGAUUUAUUGGGUUUAAAGGGUGCGCAGGCGGAAGAUUAAGUCGGUGGUGAAAUUUUGCAGCUCAACUGUAAAAGUGCCAUUGAUACUGGUUUUCUUGAGUGUGGAUGAAGUAGGCGGAAUUUGUGGUGUAGCGGUGAAAUGCUUAGAUAUCACGAGGAACUCCGAUUGCGCAGGCAGCUUACUAAACCAUAACUGACGCUCAGGCACGAAGGCGUGGGGAUCAAACAGGAUUAGAUACCCU